GGGUUGAAAUGGUCUGACAUUGUACGGUGCUACUCUGUGUCUGACUGUCCCAGCUGUGGUGUAUGCUGCCACACCUCACCCUCCCUGACAGUAAAGAAUUCACCUAAGGCUCCUGUUAAUGUCCAAGAUGUCUGUUUUCUUUCUUCAAUCAAUGUUUUCAUUGCAAAAACAUCUGAGCUGGCCCACAGGUUUAGCUUCUAACUAGAAGCACUGGAAACAUGACUGUCAGACCUGUCAUAAACUGGAAAUGCUCCUGUCUUUCUGUUGACAUUGGCACUGGAACUGCUGCACUGAAACAAUAAAAACUGAACCCAAAGGAAACAGGAAGUAAAAUCAAGUUUUAGAGCAAAAUGAGAAAAACUUGUUUCUAAGAAACAGAAUUUGUUAUAAAUUGUCCACAGUUGUGAUUUUUUGGGGGGAAGAAAGCCUUAUAUGAAAGCGUUCUCUUAGUGGAAAGCCUUGCCAACCUUGGCAGAGAACAGAAUAUCAAAAUGUCUGACAACCCAAGAAAUGCUGCAGAAAAUGAGGAAACCAGAAGCCAGACAGGAAGCAAUAUACAGAAACUGAAGCACUGCAGGUCUUGUUAGCAUUAGAUAACCAUAUGGCCCUACAGAAACCAUAGAAUAACAGCCAUCCUAAUUAUAGAUAAGUGAUGAAAGGAAGCUUAACAUUAACAUUAACCCCAUUAAAACAGCAGCUGAGGCAAUAUCACCACAGUGGAAAAAUGCAGCAGGAGUUGAAAGGAUGUCCUAGGAAUUAUACCUAAAGACCACAGAAACCUGUGUUUGGUCUUACAAUGGUCCUGCUGGCUUGAUUUGAUUUGAAUGUACACUAGUUUUGUUGCA
Molecule: long non-coding RNA, 845 nt
Organism: Zonotrichia leucophrys gambelii
Lineage: Eukaryota; Metazoa; Chordata; Aves; Passeriformes; Passerellidae
Exons: 3
Source: RefSeq, a predicted model, not a curated record